GGCAGGGUAGCUCAGUUGGUUAGAGCGCGCGGUUCAUACCCGCGUUGUCGGGGGUUCAAGUCCCUCCCCUGCUACCA
This 77-nucleotide transfer RNA is filed under the name Desulfovibrio sp. OttesenSCG-928-I05. RNAcentral's name for it is "tRNA-Met". It matches the Rfam family "tRNA". Rfam says of the family: Transfer RNA (tRNA) molecules are approximately 80 nucleotides in length. Their secondary structure includes four short double-helical elements and three loops (D, anti-codon, and T loops). Further hydrogen bonds mediate the characteristic L-shaped molecular structure. tRNAs have two regions of fundamental functional importance: the anti-codon, which is responsible for specific mRNA codon recognition, and the 3' end, to which the tRNAs corresponding amino acid is attached (by aminoacyl-tRNA synthetases). tRNAs cope with the degeneracy of the genetic code in two manners: having more than one tRNA (with a specific anti-codon) for a particular amino acid; and 'wobble' base-pairing, i.e. permitting non-standard base-pairing at the 3rd anti-codon position. The record is from RNAcentral. Lineage: Bacteria; Pseudomonadati; Thermodesulfobacteriota; Desulfovibrionia; Desulfovibrionales; Desulfovibrionaceae.